UACAUAUGGCUAAACUUGUGCUUCAUAUGGGAACUUUCGCGAUUUAUUUUCAGGUGUAAUUCCUGUAACUAAGGCACCAACUAGUUUCAUCAAAUAUCACCAUGGCAGUGGGGAAGGAAGCCUACACCAAAUGAACACAUGAAAACACUGGUUCUACAGGAUUCUAAUGCAUUAUCUCCCUGCAGACAUGGCCUUAAUCUGUGCUUAUGUAACACACUCUGCAUUCAGCCUGAGUUUGGAAGCAUUUCCAACAAGAACAUUAUCCAUAAAACAAAACUGGUUGCAAAUUAGAAUCCUGAAAUGAGUACCUGAGACAUGAUGAGGGGCAAAGCAUGCAAUGGUAGACCCUUACAAAUGUUCAUAUUUUUAUUUACUUAUUUUAUUUAUUUUUUGAGACAGGGUCUCGCUCUGUCAUCCAGGCUAGAGUGCAGAGGUGCUGUCAUAGCUCAUGCAGCCUCGAC
This 461-nucleotide long non-coding RNA is filed under the name Pan troglodytes (chimpanzee). Its description in RNAcentral is "long non-coding RNA NONPTRT009127". Lineage: Eukaryota; Metazoa; Chordata; Mammalia; Primates; Hominidae. The record is from RNAcentral.